GGUAGAGACGGGAUUUCACUAUGUUGGCCAGGCUGGUCUCGAACUCCCGACCGCAAGUGAUCCACCCGCCUUGGCCUCCCAAAGUGCUGGGAUUACAAGCUUGAGCCACUGCACCCAGCCUGGAAAGUAUAUUUAUGAAAGGUUUGCACUCCACAAAAGCAUCUUUGCUAGGGUGUCAAGGAAGAGAUCACUAAACCAACCCCAACACAUCCAUACAAUUCCAGCAAUCUAGAGAGGGCUGGUCCUUUUCCUUUUCUGGAUUAUUUUCUGUUCUCAGUAAAACAAGUAUUUACUGUGAUACUGAAACACUGGGAAAUUAACACUGAUUAAGAUAUUUUAAACACUGAGUCUUAAUUAUAACAGAACCAGUUUUCAUCAGAAUGCUUUUACGUCACAUUCAGUGAAGUGUUACGCUAAUAUAUUCUACAGCCCUGAAGAUAGAAAAAAGGUUUCUCUCCAGGUAUGAGAUAUGGUACAAAAAUACAUUUUUCCACAUACAAAAGAGAGAAAAAAACAAAGACAUGUGGCGGGUGGCGAGGGGAGGCCCAAUCCCAACACCCUACAAGGUUCCAUGGAAUGGAGAAGGAACAAAAAAAUCCCCAAUUAUUUUGGGGUAAGAUGUGCCCCAGAAAAGGUGAAAUCUAUGCAAUAAAACCCAGGUUUUCUUCAAAUCUAGCAUCUAGGAUUUCUAUCAGAGUUUCAAAUAAUCAGAAUUUCUAUCAGAAUUUCUACCCUGAGGUGACACCUACUAACUGUAGGUUCUUUCAUUAAAAAUGAAGACAUCUUUCACCAGAAUGUAUCAAGCUAUAAAACUGGCUUCAGAGCCUACACUUAGCCAGAGUGGAAAAAAAAAAUAGUGCAUAUUUUCGACAGCAAUUUUGAAUUGAUGCUUGAGGUCUCAAUCCACCAGCACCCAGAUAUCAUGUUACCUCCCUCAGUUGAAUACAAGUUAAAAUGAUGAUCUUAUCGAGAUCUCAAUAGAGCACAGUGCCCUUCAUGUUUCGGGUAAGAGGGUGGGAGGAGGAAUGAAGCGGGUAUUACACCCAGCCCAGUGACAGCUUAAGCCUUAACAUGCGGGCAUCUUACAAUGACCAUAAACAAGGGAGGGGCCAAGGCAGGGCUGGCGAUCAUUAGCUUUGCGCACAGAAUGCCAUGUUUUCCCCUGGCCAACAUAAGCAAAGCUGUUUUAGUACCUAAACGUGGUAUAGCCAAAUGCACAAAAGGAAAGAAGAUAGAGAUGACCUCCCGAGUUAUUUAUACCUUGUGCUAAAAUAGAUUCAUCUACAAGUAUCUAAAUGACAAAACUAGAAUGAUUUCAACCCAGUAAUCCUGUGUUCCAAUGUGCAUGGAUAAAGAUUUGAUCUAGGCCCAGCGCGGUGGCUCACGCCUGUAAUCCCAGCACUUUGGGAUUAUAGGGGUGAGCCACCCUGCCCAGCCUGCUCCAGCAAAUCUUAAAUAUCCAUGCACACUGAAUAAACAUGCACCUGAAACAGGUGCACGUUUCAGGAAGUGAAUGGAACUCUCCAGGAGAGUUUGGGUCCCAUCAUGUGUACCUUAGAAACAGAAGUCUCAAAAGUCUCAACAACAUCCACAAAAACAUCUGCAUCUGUUUUCCAGAUACUUGCAACCAAAAAUAAAACUUCACAGGAACACUACACAAGAAGUGGUAGACAGCUAAAUCUUCUCCAAACUGAGACCUGGACCAUAAGGUCUUGGUUGUAGCAGGUCUGGCAGGGGUUAUCUAUAAACCUGCACGCAGGGCACUGUGAGCGGGUUGCCAGGGUACAUCUGUGGCCAGGUAAGGGCCACAGAGACAGUCGUGAUCCCCAGCAGCUUCAAAGCUGCAAAAUGCUGGGCUUUUUUUUUUUUUUUUAAGAUGAAGUCUUGCUCUGUUGCCUAGGCUGGAGUGCAGUGGCGUGAUCUCGGCUCACCGCAACCUCCACCUCCCAGGUUCAAGCAAUUCUCCUGCCUCAGCCUCCUGAGUAGCUGGACUACAGGCACCCACCACCAUGCCUGACUAAUUUUUGUAUUUUUAGUAGAGACGGGGGUUUCACCAUGUUGGCCAGGCUGGUCUUGAACUCCUGACCUCAGGUGAUCCAUACUCCUCGGCCUCCCAAAGCGCUGGGAUUACAGGCAUCAGCCACUGCGCCUGGCCUAGGGCUUUCUUUUUUAAAAAACAAGUCCUAACAAAAGGGGGUUUCUACCAGCCCCUGAGCCACACCUUCUGAAACUCCCUUGCCCAGGAUCCCCACAGCUGUCCACCUCGCAAGUCCCACUCUCUGCCCACAGAGACUGCCUAAAAGGAGGACACAACAGAUUUCAGAUAAAAAGCACCUGUGUAUCGUAAAUAUUUCAGGAAAAAGAAUUCAGAUCUUUUCAAAGGCUUGCUUAUUGCUGCUAAUUGUUCCUGAGGAUCUUUCUAAGCAGCAAUAUACUUGAGAAUAUUAGCUGCUACUGUUUGUUUUCCCUCUAAGGUCCUGAGGAAAUCAAAAGAAAAAAAAAAAAACCCUCAAGGGUAUAGCUUUUGUAUAUAGCCCUAGUGAGCAAACUGCAAAUUGGGACAUGCAGUAGAUUCUGGAGCAAUCUCCAAUCCUUACCAGGUACUUCCUGGCAUCAAAUCCCCAGGACAUUUCUUGGCCCCUCCUUGCAUUUUCCGUUUCAAAAUGUUGAGGUUAAAAUACAUCGAAGCACAGAGGGAAGAAAAUCUCAGGUCUUCUAGAAAUGGCGAUGUCUUCAUUUAAAAAUAGGACUGAUGGGGGCUUGGCAGGGGUCUCUAGGAUCCAAAAGAGGUUGAGUUGCAUCCUGCAGCCCAACUGUCCACAUUUAGAAGUGACAACAUUCAUGAACUAAGUCAACAUCCACCAAAAAUAACAUGAAAUAAAGCUCACAGUUU
Molecule: long non-coding RNA, 2893 nt
Filed under: Homo sapiens (human)
Lineage: Eukaryota; Metazoa; Chordata; Mammalia; Primates; Hominidae
Description: non-protein coding THRIL:1
Source: RNAcentral